This 1908-nucleotide ribosomal RNA is filed under the name Triticum aestivum (bread wheat). RNAcentral's name for it is "partial small subunit ribosomal RNA". Lineage: Eukaryota; Viridiplantae; Streptophyta; Magnoliopsida; Poales; Poaceae. The record is from RNAcentral.
AUGAUUUGCUGGAGGAUUCAACCUCCGACUCUCGUCCCCCGUUCCCGUUCCUCGUUCCCACCAAUGGGCCUGCACUCUGGUGCCGCUUCUUGUCUCACACACCUGAACAGAAGGGGCCUGCACUCUGGCGCCGCUUCUCGUCUCACACACCUGAACAGAAGAGGCCUGCACUCUGGCGCCGCUUCUCGUCUCACAGACCUCAACAGCAGUGAUCUAGAAAGAGUUAUAUACAACUUCGAAAGCCAGCCUUCGAUGCAUUCCAAACCUUCAGCUCUCUCAGAGUAUGUAAAGGCCCUCGUCAGCCUCGAGAUGAGAACUCAAGGGGUGGAGGGCAGCCAGCUCCUGUCGAAGGAUGGUGCUCUGGGCACAGCUACUGCACCGCUCCACAUGGUUACAAUGGAGAAGGGCAAGAUAUGGAAACUGCUAUGGCCCACCUUCGGGACCAUCGCUGCUGCCGGCCUAGCUACUGGCCUUGCGACCUAUGGCGGCAAGGCUCUUGGUGACAAGGUGUCUGAGAAGAAAACAAAAGUUGGUAAUUUUGGCAGUUUGAAAGAGGUAACCUCGACCACCACGAAAUUCCGUGAUGUAAAGGGGGCUGACGAAGCCAAAGCUGACCUCGAGGACAUUGCUCACUACCUACGAGAUCCCAAGCGUUUCACGAGCCUUGGUGCCAAGCUUCCAAAGGGCGUUCUGCUUUCUGGUCCACCAGGCACAGGGAAGACCAUGUUGGCGAGGGCGUUGGCCGGGGAAACUGGCGUCCCGUUCUUCGCGUGCAGCGGCAGCGACUUCGAGGACAAGUAUAUCGGUGUUGCCUCUAAAAGAGUGAGGGAGCUCUUUAGUGAAGCAAAGAAGCGCUCCCCUUGCAUAAUAUUCAUCGAUGAAAUCGAUGCCAUUGCUGGUCCUAGAAAUACAGAAGAUCCAAUGUGGAUGAGGCAUACCCUGAACCAGCUGCUUUCUGAGAUGGAUGGCUUCAAGCAGAAUGACGGGGUCAUCGUGAUCGCCGCGACCAACUUCAAGGAGUCGCUAGAUAAAGCCCUCGUCAGGCCUGGGCGUUUUGACCGUCAUGUCCACGUUCCUCUUCCAGAUGUCGAGGGCCGACGCCAGAUCCUCGAGUCUUAUAUCUCAAAGGUGAAAGCCAAGGGUGUGGAUGUGUUGACAAUCGCUACAGGGACACCUGGGCUCUCGGGUGCAGACCUUGCAAACAUGGUGAAUGAGGCCGCCCUCACCGCUGCCAAGGACGGGGCGAAAGCUGUUACGAUGCAUCACCUAGAGUAUGCCAAGGACAGGAUCAUGAUGGGCAGCGAGCGCAAGUCGGCGGUGAUACCUGAUCAUGCCAGGAAGAUGACUGCCUACCAUGAGGGAGGGCACGCUCUUGUUGCUAUCUUCACUGAAGGCGCUGACGCUGUCGAGAAGGCUACCAUUGUUCCCAGGGGGGAUGCUCUUGGCAUGGUGAUGCAGCUGCCGGGGGAAGACGCCGAGUUUGAACUCUCGAGGAAGAAGAUGCUGGCGACUCUAGAUGUCCUGAUGGGCGGGCGGGUGGCCGAGGAGCUUAUAGCCGGAGAAGGCGGGGUCACCACUGGCCCCUCAUCUGAUCUAAGCGGGGCGACUCAGCUGGCGACUGACAUGGUCACCAAGUAUGGCAUGGGCAAGCGGGUGGGCUUUGUUACCUACAGCAAUGGCGGUGAUGCUAGCGGUGGCAAGGCGACGAACAUGAGCGGGCGGAUGUCAGAACUGGUUGACGAGGAGGUGAAAGAAUUACUGGACAAUGCUUACAAGAACGCCAAAGCGGUUCUCACGGAUCGUAGGAAGGAGCUUGAUGCGCUAGCCAACGCCCUCCUGAAGGAUGAGACUCUCACUGGUGACCAGAUCAAGAAACUAGUAACAGGAGGUGGAAGUAAAUGGUUUUGA